CUCCUGCUAUGGACACAUUACCUCUCAUGCUGGUGAAGGGAAAUGUGCUACUGUAUCCCUAUGGAGUUGCUGUGGUGCUGCCUUUGGAAUCCUGGCUCCUUUCUUUGCCAAAGUCCACCCCACAUCUCACUAUUUCUUUUCUCUGUUCCACCAGAAUCUCACUCUGCACUCAGUAUUCCUGCAGCAGAGAAUGGAAAAGGACAAAAGGGAAAUUCCAGAAUCAUGAAGAUGCCCUGGGAUGAGAGCAGGGAUUGAGGGAACAGCCCUGGGACCUUUGGAAUGCUGUAUGGUUAAUAUUUCUAAUGUAAUGUCGUCUUCACUGAAAGCAUUAAAUAAUCAGGGGACACUUGUGUAUCAUCAUCCAAGCGAACUUUCUGAUCCCUGCUUCAUGAGUCCCACUGGAUCAUUCUUGUUUGUUUAUUUGCUGAAUGAUAUUGAAAUAUUACUUCUAACCUUUAGCAGCAUAAAUUUAACAGUGAGACAGGAUAAUAAGGAGUCUUGAUUCCACCAUUCAUCCACAAUAUUGUACAAAAAGGAUCGGCAAUGCAAUAAUAUCCAAGCUGUCCGGGAACCCUUGGGAGUUGUUCCUUUUCAUAUCUUGCCUAUAAAAUA
This 612-nucleotide long non-coding RNA is filed under the name Marmota monax (woodchuck). The record is from RNAcentral. Lineage: Eukaryota; Metazoa; Chordata; Mammalia; Rodentia; Sciuridae.